AGUCGAGGGGCAGCGAGCGGGUAGCGAUACCCGCGUCGGCGACCGGCGCACUGGUGAGUAACACGUAUGCAACCUGCCCUCCGCAGGGGAAUAAACCGGGGAAAUCUGGUCUAAUGCCCCAUAGUCCCCGGGUCCGCAUGGGCCCGGGGGGAAAGAUCCGUCGGCGGGGGAUGGGCAUGCGGCGCAUUAGCUUGUUGGCGGGGCAGCGGCCCACCAAGGCGACGAUGCGUAGGGGUUCUGAGAGGAAGGUCCCCCACACUGGUACUGAGACACGGACCAGACUCCUACGGGAGGCAGCAGUGAGGAAUAUUGGUCAAUGGGCGGGAGCCUGAACCAGCCAAGUCGCGUGAGGGAUGACGGUCCUACGGAUUGUAAACCUCUUUAGCCGGGGAGUAACGUGUCCCACGCGUGGGGCAGUGAGAGUACCCGGAGAAUAAGCAUCGGCUAACUCCGUGCCAGCAGCCGCGGUAAUACGGAGGAUGCGAGCGUUAUCCGGAUUUAUUGGGUUUAAAGGGUGCGCAGGCGGCGCUCCAAGUCAGCGGUCAAAUGCCCGGGCUCAACCCGGGUCCGCCGUUGAUACUGGGGUGCUCGAGUGCGUGCGAGGGAGGCGGAAUGCGUGGUGUAGCGGUGAAAUGCAUAGAUAUCACGCAGAACCCCGAUUGCGAAGGCAGCCUUCCAGCACGCCACUGACGCUGAGGCACGAAAGCGUGGGUAUCGAACAGGAUUAGAUACCCUGGUAGUCCACGCAGUAAACGAUGAAUACUAGCUUUGCGCCCCUUACAGUGGGGAGCGAGGCGCAGCGAAAGCGUUAAGUAUUCCACCUGGGGAGUACGCCGGCAACGGUGAAACUCAAAGGAAUUGACGGGG
Molecule: ribosomal RNA, 867 nt
Filed under: uncultured bacterium
Lineage: Bacteria
Description: bacterial SSU rRNA
Rfam family: Bacterial small subunit ribosomal RNA
Source: RNAcentral